AGAGUUUGAUCCUGGCUCAGGACGAAUGCUGGCGGUGUGCUUCACACAUGCAAGUCGAACGGGGUAGCAAUACCUAGUGGCGGACGGGUGAGUAACACGUAGGAAUCUGCCUUUAGGCGGGGGAUAACAAUCCGAAAGGAUUGCUAAUACCCCAUAUGCAUAAGCCUCGAUAGGGGUUUAUAUGAAAGGAGCAAUCCACCUGAAGAUGAGCCUGCGUCCGAUUAGCUAGUUGGUAGGGUAAAAGCCUACCAAGGCGACGAUCGGUAGCUGGUCUGAGAGGAUGAUCAGCCACAAUGGAACUGAGACACGGUCCAUACUCCUACGGGAGGCAGCAGUGGGGAAUUUUACGCAGUGGGCGAAAGCCUGACGUAGCGACACCGCGUGAGCGACGAAGCCCUUUGGGGUGUAAAGCUCUGUCGGCUGGAACGAAAAAAAUGACGGUACCAGCAAAGGAAGCAUCGGCUAACUACGUGCCAGCAGCCGCGGUAAGACGUAGGAUGCAAGCAUUGUCCGGAUUUAUUGGGCGUAAAGAGUUCGUAGGUGGUUUGUUAAGUCUGAUGUUAAAGACCGGAGCUCAACUUCGGAACUGCAUUGGAUACUGGCAGACUAGAGUAUGGUAGAGGCAAGCGGAAUUCCCAGUGUAGCGGUGAAAUGCGUAGA
RNAcentral lists this ribosomal RNA (660 nucleotides) under uncultured bacterium. RNAcentral's name for it is "bacterial SSU rRNA". It matches the Rfam family "Bacterial small subunit ribosomal RNA", at positions 8 to 694 of the family's 1533-position model. The record is from RNAcentral.